UACAUGUGGGGCAAGCGUUGUUCGGAAUUACUGGGCAUAAAGGGUGCGUAGGCGGCUUGUUAGGUCACUGGUGAAAGUUUUCGGCCCAACCGGAAAAUUGCCUGUGAUACCGGCGAGCUUGAGUGCGUGAGGGGUGGGGGGAACGAGCAGUGUAGCGGUGAAAUGCGUAGAUAUCGUAAGGAAGACCAGUGGCGAAGGCGGGUCUCUGGACAGUUCCUGACGCUGAGGCACGAAGGCCAGGGGAGCAAACGGG
This 253-nucleotide ribosomal RNA is filed under the name uncultured bacterium. RNAcentral describes it as "partial 16S ribosomal RNA". It matches the Rfam family "Bacterial small subunit ribosomal RNA", at positions 524 to 776 of the family's 1533-position model. The record is from RNAcentral.